Sphaeramia orbicularis (orbiculate cardinalfish) is the source of this 119-nucleotide ribosomal RNA. Lineage: Eukaryota; Metazoa; Chordata; Actinopteri; Kurtiformes; Apogonidae. The record is from Ensembl.
GCUUACGGCCAUACCACCCUGAACACGCCCGAACUCGUCUGAUAUUAGAAGCAAAGGAGGGUCGGGCCUGGUCAGUACUUGGACUGGACACCUCCUGGGAACACCAGGUGCUGUAAGCU